UAUAACUUCAUUUUCAGUUUUUUGGUACAAUGUUUUGACUCUUUGUCUUAUUUGAAAUUUUUGCGAUUGAUAUUUUUAUUGUUACUAGAUGAUAAAAUAUGAAUAUUACUUUAUGCAUGACUAAUUUUUUUAAGUUUUUGUACAAAUUUUUCAAAUAAAACGAAUGGUUAAACGUUGGAUACGGAAAAAC
Molecule: microRNA precursor, 190 nt
Filed under: Oryza brachyantha (malo sina)
Lineage: Eukaryota; Viridiplantae; Streptophyta; Magnoliopsida; Poales; Poaceae
Description: MIR812 microRNA precursor family
Rfam family: MIR812 microRNA precursor family
Source: Rfam by way of RNAcentral